GACGAACGCUGGCGGCGUGCUUAACACAUGCAAGUCGAACGGAAAGGCCCUGCUUUUGUGGGGUGCUCGAGUGGCGAACGGGUGAGUAACACGUGAGUAACCUGCCCUUGACUUUGGGAUAACUUCAGGAAACUGGGGCUAAUACCGGAUAGGAGCUCCUGCUGCAUGGUGGGGGUUGGAAAGUUUCGGCGGUUGGGGAUGGACUCGCAGCUUAUCAGCUUGUUGGUGGGGUAGUGGCUUACCAAGGCUUUGACGGGUAGCCGGCCUGAGAGGGUGACCGGCCACAUUGGGACUGAGAUACGGCCCAGACUCCUACGGGAGGCAGCAGUGGGGAAUAUUGCACAAUGGGCGGAAGCCUGAUGCAGCAACGCCGCGUGCGGGAUGACGGCCUUCGGGUUGUAAACCGCUUUCGCCUGUGACGAAGCGUGAGUGACGGUAAUGGGCAAAGAAGCACCGGCUAACUACGUG
This 468-nucleotide ribosomal RNA is filed under the name uncultured bacterium. Its description in RNAcentral is "partial 16S ribosomal RNA". It matches the Rfam family "Bacterial small subunit ribosomal RNA", at positions 28 to 507 of the family's 1533-position model. The record is from RNAcentral.